RNAcentral lists this ribosomal RNA (1541 nucleotides) under Escherichia coli. RNAcentral describes it as "bacterial SSU rRNA". It matches the Rfam family "Bacterial small subunit ribosomal RNA". The record is from RNAcentral. Lineage: Bacteria; Pseudomonadati; Pseudomonadota; Gammaproteobacteria; Enterobacterales; Enterobacteriaceae.
AAUUGAAGAGUUUGAUCAUGGCUCAGAUUGAACGCUGGCGGCAGGCCUAACACAUGCAAGUCGAACGGUAACAGGAAGCAGCUUGCUGCUUUGCUGACGAGUGGCGGACGGGUGAGUAAUGUCUGGGAAACUGCCUGAUGGAGGGGGAUAACUACUGGAAACGGUAGCUAAUACCGCAUAAUGUCGCAAGACCAAAGAGGGGGACCUUCGGGCCUCUUGCCAUCGGAUGUGCCCAGAUGGGAUUAGCUAGUAGGUGGGGUAAAGGCUCACCUAGGCGACGAUCCCUAGCUGGUCUGAGAGGAUGACCAGCCACACUGGAACUGAGACACGGUCCAGACUCCUACGGGAGGCAGCAGUGGGGAAUAUUGCACAAUGGGCGCAAGCCUGAUGCAGCCAUGCCGCGUGUAUGAAGAAGGCCUUCGGGUUGUAAAGUACUUUCAGCGGGGAGGAAGGGAGUAAAGUUAAUACCUUUGCUCAUUGACGUUACCCGCAGAAGAAGCACCGGCUAACUCCGUGCCAGCAGCCGCGGUAAUACGGAGGGUGCAAGCGUUAAUCGGAAUUACUGGGCGUAAAGCGCACGCAGGCGGUUUGUUAAGUCAGAUGUGAAAUCCCCGGGCUCAACCUGGGAACUGCAUCUGAUACUGGCAAGCUUGAGUCUCGUAGAGGGGGGUAGAAUUCCAGGUGUAGCGGUGAAAUGCGUAGAGAUCUGGAGGAAUACCGGUGGCGAAGGCGGCCCCCUGGACGAAGACUGACGCUCAGGUGCGAAAGCGUGGGGAGCAAACAGGAUUAGAUACCCUGGUAGUCCACGCCGUAAACGAUGUCGACUUGGAGGUUGUGCCCUUGAGGCGUGGCUUCCGGAGCUAACGCGUUAAGUCGACCGCCUGGGGAGUACGGCCGCAAGGUUAAAACUCAAAUGAAUUGACGGGGGCCCGCACAAGCGGUGGAGCAUGUGGUUUAAUUCGAUGCAACGCGAAGAACCUUACCUGGUCUUGACAUCCACGGAAGUUUUCAGAGAUGAGAAUGUGCCUUCGGGAACCGUGAGACAGGUGCUGCAUGGCUGUCGUCAGCUCGUGUUGUGAAAUGUUGGGUUAAGUCCCGCAACGAGCGCAACCCUUAUCCUUUGUUGCCAGCGGUCCGGCCGGGAACUCAAAGGAGACUGCCAGUGAUAAACUGGAGGAAGGUGGGGAUGACGUCAAGUCAUCAUGGCCCUUACGACCAGGGCUACACACGUGCUACAAUGGCGCAUACAAAGAGAAGCGACCUCGCGAGAGCAAGCGGACCUCAUAAAGUGCGUCGUAGUCCGGAUUGGAGUCUGCAACUCGACUCCAUGAAGUCGGAAUCGCUAGUAAUCGUGGAUCAGAAUGCCACGGUGAAUACGUUCCCGGGCCUUGUACACACCGCCCGUCACACCAUGGGAGUGGGUUGCAAAAGAAGUAGGUAGCUUAACCUUCGGGAGGGCGCUUACCACUUUGUGAUUCAUGACUGGGGUGAAGUCGUAACAAGGUAACCGUAGGGGAACCUGCGGUUGGAUCACCUCCUUA